Long non-coding RNA from Brassica napus (rape), 1222 nucleotides. RefSeq lists it as uncharacterized. NCBI's taxonomy places the organism in Eukaryota, Viridiplantae, Streptophyta, Magnoliopsida, Brassicales, Brassicaceae. The record is from RefSeq and is a predicted model, not a curated record. The transcript has 2 exons.
AACCAAAUCAAUAAAUACAUAUAGUAUACCGAAAACAUAACAAAACCCCAAACGAAACCCUAAAAUACACUGUUUAUGAAUUUGCAAUAGAUUUGCAAGGGAAUCCUCGCACUCCCCUUGCAAAUUUGCGAGGGAUUUGCAACGGACAUACCUAGUAUAUAAACACAUUAACCGACAAAAGGUAAACAUAAAAAAGAAAAAAUCCUAUUGGCCAAUACACAUUUCACAUGGAUCACCAUUCCAGCCGUUAAAUUGAAUUUCAAUCAAUAGACAAGAUUUUUUAUUUUCUAUUUUCUUAUUUCUACGAAUGAUCUCUUAAUUAUCUUCUCCGUCUUCUUACAGCUCUCUCUCUCUCUUUCAUCUUCUGUUCUUUUUUUUUUUUUUUUGAUUAAUCUGGAGGGACUUCCACCCCAGGGCUAACCCCUCGGCGCGAAGCGGACCAUUUGGUACUAUGGGGAAUUAGAUACCCCAAUUGCCUGGCCAGCACAUCGAAUCCGCGUAUUCCGUAUUGGGGAUUUUUAUUUCCCCUCAAGACCAUCUAGGCCAGCUACGCUGAUUAUCUUCUGUUCUUUUCUCUUCAUAUUUUAAGAUAUCUUUUCCUUCCUCUGUUCUUCAUUAUCUUCUCCAUCUUCUGCUCACCACUUUCUUCGCGGUUACCACUUCUGUCGCUGUCACCGCUGCUGUCUCCGUCAUCUAAGAAACAAACGCCUCUGUGCUUGACGAAGCACCGACUCGUAGCAGUGGAGGCAACCGACCUUCUUCUUCUUCUUCUUCUUCAGAUUUUGUCCAUAUCCCUCGCCGUCACGUUUUGCUCUCUGUCCAAGACUCACCGGAGAUGAAGAUCCGUACUAGUCGUCACCACUCUAGCUUCUCACCUCUCUUUUCAGAAUUCAAUAUUAAAAGGUGUGGAGGACGAAGAAGAACUCGACGGUGGUGGGAUUUGAGAGGAGCGGAUCUGGAAGGUGGAUGCGAUGGCCGGAAGUAGAAGCAUCGAUGGUGGCUGAAGCGUUGAGAGUGCGGUGGACAAAGACGACUGGAGGAGGACGACAGCGGCGGCUUAGAUUUAGGUUUCUUGUAUUUUGUUUGUAUUUAUGUUUAUAUAUUUACAUAUUUGUUUUUAUUAAUUAUAUCAAAUUGUUUUUUUUUUAUUUAACCGUCGGAAUAGAUACAUUUUCCUUUAGUGUACCGGUUUCAAUAUAUAUAGUAUUUUUUUUAUUUCUUA